AAUCAACGCUGGCGGCGUGCCUCAGACAUGCAAGUCGAACGAUUAAACUUCCCUUCGGGGAAGAUAUAAAGUGGCGUACGGGUGAGUAACACGUAAGUAAUCUACCUUCGAGUGGGGAAUAACGUCCGGAAACGGACGCUAAUACCGCAUAAUGCAGCGGCAUCUAUGAUGACAGUUGUUAAAGAUUUAUCGCUUGAAGAGGAGCUUGCGGCAGAUUAGCUAGUUGGAAGGUAAUGGCUUACCAAGGCGACGAUCUGUAUCCGGUCUAAGAGGACGGUCGGACACACUGACACUGAAUAACGGGUCAGACUCCUACGGGAGGCAGCAGUCGGGAAUUUUGGGCGAAU
Molecule: ribosomal RNA, 347 nt
Filed under: uncultured bacterium
Lineage: Bacteria
Description: bacterial SSU rRNA
Rfam family: Bacterial small subunit ribosomal RNA
Source: RNAcentral